UUGGCCCAGGCAAGGGAACUGCUUGAGUAGCUCCGUCUUCUGCCGCUUGUAGUCGUCGGUAGCCGAGCGCCAGUGAGGCUCCUCCAGCACCUCGAAGAUCGCCGCCCCGAUGGACAGGUAGAAGAUGAUGGCCGAGGUCAAGCACUGUAAGCUCUGACAGCCAACUCUGGUCAAGGACUGUCUCUGAGUGCCACUGCUGGGAAUGUGGGAGUCUGCGUAAAAUGAGACCUCUCUGCUGGGAAGACCUUCAGGACUCCCAGAAGUGAUGGGAAAGAAUGAAGCACAGAGACGAUGCAACUCAUCUGAAGAAGGCCUGGCAGAGCCAGGCACAGAAUGCAGAUCUCCUGAUACCUGAGCCCGUGCCUUCACCUCGCUAUCGUUGCUCUUUCGUCCACACUCUGUGCAACAGGCAUUCAAGCUGGACACAAAUACAAAGAAAAGCUUCACCUGCUUUUAAAAAUGGAUGCCUAAACUCAUGGGCUCAUAGCUAGACACCAAGUGCGCUAAAUGGCCAGGACACUUUCAGGCAGGAGAUUUUACUAGUUCAAAAAAGCAGCAAUUAGUGACUAAAUAAGGAUUAAGAACCCUAGUUGUAUGCAUGCAUUUAAAAAAAAAUAAUCUUUCCCUUUUUCUAAUAAGCACUUCUAAGGGGCUCUACUGAGAAUGUAAAAGUAUCACAGAAAAGAAAGAGAUAUUGUGAAAAGAAAAAGAAACUGCUUUUACUUCACUGGUGUCUAUAUUUCUAUCUGAAAUGCCAUUAUAACGACGGCUGAUUUUAUUUGCAAACAGUUGGCAAAGUUUCCAGGAAAUACAUGCAUGGACUAUACCUGACACUAUGUGGUUUUGAACUUAGGAGCCCACGUUUUUUCAUGGGUUGACUAUCAAUAGACAAUCCUGCACCAUGUGGUCCUUUUUUUCCCUGCCCAAUGACACUAUCUCAUUUCCCGCUUACACCAACUCAUAUUCACACGUCACGUCUAUGCCAGCCAGGCAAAUUACAAAUAUUUGAAAAGAGACAGGAAACCAUAGUUGAUAUCGUGUGACACUCAAAGUGACAUCUAUGUGCACCAAAGACUUUGUUGGUUACCGUGGCUUGGGUAUAUUCCUUGAUCCAUGGAAGGCGUGCAAUGCACUAUGCCAGUGGAAAUAAGCAAAAGCAGGUAUAACCUCGAAUACAUCCCGAUGCCUGCCCUCCAGUAAUUCUGUGGUCCUGAGCACUUUUUCUUUCAUGUUUGAGGGUGUUUCUGUUGACAUCUGCCUCUUCUUGUUCCUUCUUACACACAGGGACACAUUGUCCACAUGAAUCCACUGAUUUGAGGGAUAUAGCUUCAGUUACAACCUGUAAUCCAGCACUUUUGGGCUGAAAGUUGCUUUUCAGCUCCUGUUGUUUCCUAAAAUCAUGUUUAGAGAAGAGUUCUCGAAACUCCUACAGCUUCAUCCAGAGCCACAAAUGUCUACAGUUUAAAAAAAAAAAAAAAAGAAAGAAAAAAAUGCAAGGAUUUAAAACUUUCUAGCUUAAAAACAAGAUAUGUGGGAAUAAUAGACCAUCUUACAACACAGGGAGCUUUCUUUUUCUCUUGCAGACAUCAUUUGAGAAAUCAGCAUGGGUUCCCCCGUGACAACACUAAAGAAAAAGUCUGAAUGCCACUAUUUAGCAAGGUUUUUUUGUUUUUGUUUUUUUUUUUAAACUGUUUGCUUCAUCUUUGCCAUAGCUACUGCUCUGUUCUGACGUAAUUUCAAGCCAUGUGGAGACUACCUACAAAAUGAGUCCACUCCUGUCAGCUAUGGCUGUUUACUGAGAUCUGAGGGAGAAAAAAAAAACACAACCUACUGGUAUUAAAAUACACUAAGAAUGCAAUUCGCUCUAGUUUGAAGGUCUUGUCCUUAUGCUUUUUACAUUAACAAUUCCUUUACUUUCCUGUCUGAAUGGGCUUUUUGACAUUAAUAUUACAUUGUAUUUCUAGUAAAAAUCCAGUCUCUCCAAAAGUCAGUUUUUCUGAUGUUAUCUCUGACAAAAAUUGUUGUCAGUAAACAUACCGAUAGAUUACCUUCCCUAACGAAACUUUUCUGUCAGGUUGAGGUGCUGGGGGCGGUGGGUGCACUGCUGUGCUAUGCACACACAUGCCCAAAGUCCAGUCUGAGAGCUGGUCAGGCAUCCAGGCCAAACUCACAAAUUCAGGGCUUCCAGGACCAAGAAAGCAAGUUGUCUGCAGUUAGGUGUUUGACUUUGAUGCACGAAUACUUGAUUUGUAUCUGUACUAGUGUUUAUUAGUUGCCAUAGUAUAUGGCCACUCAUUCCUUGCCUUUUUUUGGAAAUCACUCUAAUCCCAACAUGUGCUCUGAUCCUGUCUCUUCCUGCCUUGUUCUUUAUGUUUUCAUUAAUAAGAAUGGUAUUGCACCAUAUAUUUGUACAGCAAGUGACCACCACAGUCACUGUGUUUUUUACAGUCUAUUUCCAAGUCAGAUUUCCGCUUUAGCCCACCCUGGACCCCUCAGUUCAUUCUGCACAAAGGAUCUGAGAUUUUUCAAGCUAUAACCAUUGCUCAGGCCGCAGACAUCCACUACUACCCUCAGUUUUGUACUUGGUCCUUUUCCACAGAUAUUCUCGCCGCCACUUGUUUCCCCGUUCCUCUCCCCUUGCUCAUAAAAGCAGUCAAUUAACCUUUGGAACAACCAGCCCCCAAACCACCCCUGGGGACCGGCCAGAAGCGAAAUCCUCCCAGCACGCCUCUCUGGAGGGAGGCAAUAACCAGCAAUCACGAUAGAAUUUUUCCACGGAGCCAGACUCAGACUGGCUACCACGUUACACUGCAUGAAGAACCUCUCUCAUAACAGGCAUUUAGACGGGUGGCUCAAAGCCCUUCCUUCAAGCAGAGAUGUUUUUUCCAGUCUUUUGAUUUUCCUAACCUGCCACUGAUCCCUCUUUUCCUCCCAGUCACGCUGUCACCAGCUCUCAAGCAAACUUAAAAUGAGACAAAACCUGGACUAAAACCAAGUCAAAUCCAGUGGCUUUACACAAAGCCAAGGAUGCCUCAGCUACUCU
This is a long non-coding RNA of Chroicocephalus ridibundus (black-headed gull), 3043 nucleotides long. RefSeq lists it as uncharacterized. The record is from RefSeq and is a predicted model, not a curated record. NCBI's taxonomy places the organism in Eukaryota, Metazoa, Chordata, Aves, Charadriiformes, Laridae. The transcript is spliced from 3 exons.